Molecule: long non-coding RNA, 795 nt
Organism: Dinoponera quadriceps
Lineage: Eukaryota; Metazoa; Arthropoda; Insecta; Hymenoptera; Formicidae
Exons: 3
Source: RefSeq, a predicted model, not a curated record
UGUUGACAUUUCGCGAGCUUUUUCAUUUGUUACAGACGCUGUGUGAGAGUGUAGCUGUAUCGCAAAUAUCGUGAAAAAUACAAAACUGCCUAUAAACUAGACACGUGUAAUACGGCAGUAUUUUAACAAAAGCAAACCUCUUAAAAGACAGUGAAUAACUUUGUUGACAUACCUCCAAUGUUUUACCUAGGAGACAGAGAUAAAUAUAUAAGCAUCGUAUACCGUCUAAUAUUGUGGAAAACUCAUAAUUAAAAGAUGUAUUAAGAGAUACUUGACAAGAAUUGUAUCCUGAUAAAACAAUGUCUGAAACUUGGAACAACAUCAAGAAUUGUUAGGACUGGCUAAGGUAGCAAUUGACAUUGUUAUUGAUGCACUCUGCUUUGGAUUAUCCUCAGUUGUUAUGAUCAAAGAACUGACAUCAUGAAUUGCAUUUGCACAAGGACAAACUCCAACUUUAUUCUUAAAUCAUGGAGAAUUGCUAAAACUUGCAGUAGUGCUUCCACCACAUAAUAUGACAGUUUUUCAUCUUAAGAAUACUAUGGAACAACACAUGUGUUUAUGUUUUAUAAGAGAAAACAUCUAUAAGGUUCCACCACAUGACACGACAGUUCUUGACAAAGCUAUUGAGCAACAUGUGUGUUUUGAAAGACAAAACGUCAAAAAUAAAAUAAGUUGAAAACAUAUUUGGAAUAAAUAUCAUCUUUCUUUAGAACAUACUUAUUACCAACAUGAAAGUAUUAUGAUAUAUAGUAUUACUAAUUGAACUGAAUUAUAUUAUAUGAAGGUGCGUUGAGA